This 945-nucleotide long non-coding RNA is filed under the name Astyanax mexicanus (Mexican tetra). Its description in RNAcentral is "lncRNA (ENSAMXG00005017634.1)". The record is from RNAcentral. Lineage: Eukaryota; Metazoa; Chordata; Actinopteri; Characiformes; Acestrorhamphidae.
ACCAGACUGGAACAUGUUCAGCAGUAUCCAUAUACACCAGCUUUAACAGCUUUUGUAUGUUUGUGUGUGUGUGUGUGUGUGUGUGUGUGUGUAGGGGGCGGAGUGUGGGGAGGGGCUGAGGGAGAGGAACCUGUCCUGUGUGGUGCACUGGGGGUCUCUCUCAGGUUCUCCUUUACCGAGAGUCGUGGCGGAGGAGCGCUGUGUGGAGACCAGACUCACCAAAACUACCGGAACAGAGUUUCAACAGACCUGCUCUAUACCCUGCCCAGGUGAUUGUUACCUGGCGGAGUGGUCGGUGUGGAGCGUGUGUCAGCUGCUCUGUCUGGAUGGGCGGAGUUUCGAGACGUCGGGUCGGCAGGCGAGAUCCAGAGCUGUGGUGAUGCAGGUUCCCCAGAGUGAGGACUCGUGUCCCAGACAGGUGUACGAGAGCCGGCCGUGCACAGGAGGGAGCUGUCUCAGUUAUGAGUGGGUAACUGGUGGAUGGAGGGAUAAUCAAAGGGCGGUGUGGUGUCAGCGCUCUGAUGGGGUAAACGUUACAGGAGGCUGUUUCCCUCAGAAUAAACCUGCUGCUGUUCGUCACUGUCACCCACCCUGUACCAAACCCUUCUCUUACUGCACACAGAGUGGUGUGUGUGGAUGUGGGAGGGGCUUUACUGAGGUCAUGACCUCUCUGGGUUUUCUGGAUUACUGUAUGGGAUCUGCUGCUCCUGAUUAUAAGAAGGCAGACGUGAAAAACGGCGCAGGACGUCGGAGGACCAGCCCCGUCCAGAAACACGACCGGCCCCGAGACUGGGCCCUGCAGCCCCUCGGCCCAGAUGGACGGGUCAGGCUGUGGGUGUACGGGUUGAUGGCUGCAGGCUUCAUCAUGAUCCUCCUCAUCAUCACCAUGUCCUUCCUGCUGUGUAAAAACCCAAAGGACCGUCCGAACCCCAGCAGCACCCAGAA